ACCACACGAAGCUGGAAUCGCUAGUAAUCGUGAAUCAGAAUGUCACGGUGAAUACGUUCCCGGGUCUUGUACACACCGCCCGUCACACCAUGGGAGUCAGCAACGCCCGAAGUCAGUGACCUAACCGAGAGGGAGGAGCUGCCGAAGGCGGGGCCGGUAACUGGGGUGAAGUCGUAACAAGGUAUC
This 186-nucleotide ribosomal RNA is filed under the name uncultured bacterium. Its description in RNAcentral is "partial 16S ribosomal RNA". It matches the Rfam family "Bacterial small subunit ribosomal RNA", at positions 1315 to 1500 of the family's 1533-position model. The record is from RNAcentral.